This 253-nucleotide ribosomal RNA is filed under the name uncultured bacterium. Its description in RNAcentral is "partial 16S ribosomal RNA". It matches the Rfam family "Bacterial small subunit ribosomal RNA", at positions 524 to 776 of the family's 1533-position model. The record is from RNAcentral.
GACAGAGGGUACAAACGUUGUUCGGAAUUACUGGGCGUAAAGCGCGUGUAGGCUGCUUCGCAAGUCGGAUGUGAAAUCUCCCGGCUUAACUGGGAGGGGUCGUUCGAUACUAGCGGGCUCGAGGUCGGUAGAGGGAAGCGGAAUUCCGGGUGUAGUGGUGGAAUACGUAGAUAUCCGGAGGAACACCAGUGGCGAAGGCGGCUUCCUGGACCGAUUCUGACACUGAGGAGCGAAAGCGUGGGGAGCAAACGGG